This 301-nucleotide ribosomal RNA is filed under the name uncultured bacterium. RNAcentral describes it as "partial 16S ribosomal RNA". It matches the Rfam family "Bacterial small subunit ribosomal RNA", at positions 509 to 809 of the family's 1533-position model. The record is from RNAcentral.
CAGUCGCCGCGGGAAUACAGAGGGUGCGAGCGUUAAUCGGAUUUACUGGGCGUAAAGCGUGCGUAGGCGGCUUUUUAAGUUGGAUGUGAAAUCCCUGAGCUUAACUUAGGAAUUGCAUUCGAUACUGGGAAGCUAGAGUAUGGGAGAGGAUGGUAGAAUUCCAGGUGUAGCGGUGAAAUGCGUAGAGAUCUGGAGGAAUACCGAUGGCGAAGGCAGCCAUCUGGCCUAAUACUGACGCUGAGGUACGAAAGCAUGGGGAGCAAACAGGAUUAGAUACCCCAGUAGUCCCUGUCUCUUAUAU